CGACUUGUACAAGAUAAACCCGUUUUUAGUUCUUUGAAACUUAAAAAAAAUACGAUUGACCGAUAUUUCAUCGCUGAUACGCGUCGGUAAGAUUAAUUAUCCUUGAUCAUCUUAAGAAACUUCUAGUUGUUUCGGUUCUAACAGUCCAUAAUUCGUUGCUUUCAUAUCUCACAAGUUUUGUCUCAUUUUCUUCCUGACACCCUUUCUUGCUAAUGAAAGUUUCU
Non-coding RNA from Caenorhabditis elegans, 224 nucleotides. Lineage: Eukaryota; Metazoa; Nematoda; Chromadorea; Rhabditida; Rhabditidae. The record is from Ensembl.